This 497-nucleotide ribosomal RNA is filed under the name uncultured bacterium. RNAcentral's name for it is "partial 16S ribosomal RNA". It matches the Rfam family "Bacterial small subunit ribosomal RNA", at positions 28 to 507 of the family's 1533-position model. The record is from RNAcentral.
GAUGAACGCUGGCGGCGUGCCUAAUACAUGCAAGUCGAGCGAACAGACGAGGAGCUUGCUCCUCUGACGUUAGCGGCGGACAGGUGAGUAACACGUGGAUAACCUACCUAUAAGACUGGGAUAACUUCGGGAAACCGGAGCUAAUACCGGAUAACAUGUUGAACCGCAUGGUUCAACAGUGAAAGACGGUCUUGCUGUCACUUAUAGAUGGAUCCGCGCCGCAUUAGCUAGUUGGUAAGGUAACGGCUUACCAAGGCAACGAUGCGUAGCCGACCUGAGAGGGUGAUCGGCCACACUGGAACUGAGACACGGUACAGACUCCUACGGGAGGAAGCAGUAGGGAAUCUUCCGCAAUGGGCGAAAGCCUGACGGAGCAACGCCGCGUGAGUGAAGAAGGUCUUCGGAUCGUAAAACUCUGUUAUUAGGGAAGAACAAAUGUGUAAGUAACUAUGCACGUCUUGACGGUACCUAAUCAGAAAGCCACGGCUAACUACGUG